RNAcentral lists this ribosomal RNA (253 nucleotides) under uncultured bacterium. RNAcentral's name for it is "partial 16S ribosomal RNA". It matches the Rfam family "Bacterial small subunit ribosomal RNA", at positions 524 to 776 of the family's 1533-position model. The record is from RNAcentral.
UACAGAGGGUGCGAGCGUUAAUCGGAAUUACUGGGCGUAAAGCGCGCGUAGGCGGCUUUUCAAGUCGAUUGUGAAAUCCCCGGGCUUAGCCUGGGAACUGCAGUCGAGACUGUCUAGCUAGAGUAUGGGAGAGGGAAGUGGAAUUUCAGGUGUAGCGGUGAAAUGCGUAGAUAUCUGAAGGAACAUCAGUGGCGAAAGCGACUUCCUGGACCAAUACUGACGCUCAUGUGCGAAAGCGUGGGGAGCAAACAGG